Molecule: long non-coding RNA, 313 nt
Organism: Cucurbita moschata (crookneck pumpkin)
Lineage: Eukaryota; Viridiplantae; Streptophyta; Magnoliopsida; Cucurbitales; Cucurbitaceae
Exons: 2
Source: RefSeq, a predicted model, not a curated record
CGUAGGUGUUGGGAAAGCACGUUGGAGUGUGAAUUUGUUUACAAUGUCCAAAGUAUUUUGUUGGAAACGAAGGGCUCUUCUAAUUAAAGAAAGGGAAGGGGAGGGGCAAAUUUUGCAGCACAGAUCUGGCGAUUAGAGACAAGUGCAAGAUUUUGUGAGAUUUAUGGGGUUUGCUUCAGGUGGGCCUUUCGCUAACCAAUCGUCCUUUCUUUGAGAAAACAGGCAGAUCGCAUCUAGAUCUCUCGUCUCAGGGUCUGGACCUAUCGAGCUUGGGCUGCCAUUCUUUGAAGUGGGCCAGCCCAAUAAUGGCUUG